Molecule: non-coding RNA, 111 nt
Filed under: Mucilaginibacter paludis
Lineage: Bacteria; Pseudomonadati; Bacteroidota; Sphingobacteriia; Sphingobacteriales; Sphingobacteriaceae
Also listed under: 1 other name
Description: SAM-I sequence
Rfam family: SAM riboswitch aptamer (S box leader)
About the family: The SAM riboswitch is found upstream of a number of genes which code for proteins involved in methionine or cysteine biosynthesis in Gram-positive bacteria. The SAM riboswitch acts at the level of transcription termination control.
Source: RNAcentral
UGCUUAUAGAGAAAGACGGAGGGAUUAGACCCUGCGAUGUCUUAGCAACCUGUACUUACAAGGUGCUACAUUCUACUGCAACCAAACUUAGCGGUUGCAGACAGAUAAGCG